AUUUGCUCAGACCUAAUGCAGUUCACUACUCCUAGGUAAAUAGAAGACAUUGCCCCUGCAACUCUAAGCACAGCCGGUGCCCAGGACAACAUACAACAAAUCCUGUUGCAAGGAUCUAAGCCUGAGAUUGGUGAUUUUACACUGAGAGUCUGUUGAAUCUUCCUGGCACUCAUGAGGUUAAAUCCUAGGACAUCUAAGAAGAAAGAAAAGCAAAUGGAGGUUCUUCAGUAAACUGGAACUGAUGUGACUGGGCAGACUCUGGAGCGUCAAGAAUACGCUGCAUCAGGCAAAGGAAGGUGGAUCAAUUCCCUGCAGUUUAAGUGACUGAGCCUGACCAAGGUUACCUGCAGACAGGGAGUUGUUUUCACAGACAGAGCUGGAAUAUUGAAACUCGUCGCUCUAUACCUCUCCAUUCCCUGCAUUCCCAGCUCAAGUAAAGAUCUAUUUUUGCCCGGGAGGUCUGAAUAAGGCAUCAUGUUGGUGACAGGAUGAAUGGGCCUCACAGGGAACCGUAACUCCAGCUUCUCAGACAGCCGGACCCUGCCUCUCCCCCCGGGUGCUUUGCUACUUAUCAGCGGGACGAAGACAAGUAGGCGUAGGUGCCACUGGGCUGAAGCGCCUUCAGAUCUACAGCACCCACGGAUAUAAACCAGGACUUCCAUUUCUGAAGCAAUUGCAACAACUCUUUAGCCCAGAGGAUGGUUACAGUUUAAGAAGAUAAAUUUGCAAAAG
Non-coding RNA from Odocoileus virginianus texanus, 732 nucleotides. Lineage: Eukaryota; Metazoa; Chordata; Mammalia; Artiodactyla; Cervidae. The record is from RefSeq and is a predicted model, not a curated record.